GCGAGUGGCGGUUCACUAGUAGAAUUCCUGCUUUCCAUGUAGGAGACCCAGGUUCAAUUCCUGACCAACGCA
Molecule: transfer RNA, 72 nt
Filed under: Loxodonta africana (African savanna elephant)
Lineage: Eukaryota; Metazoa; Chordata; Mammalia; Proboscidea; Elephantidae
Rfam family: tRNA
About the family: Transfer RNA (tRNA) molecules are approximately 80 nucleotides in length. Their secondary structure includes four short double-helical elements and three loops (D, anti-codon, and T loops).
Source: Rfam by way of RNAcentral